UUGUAAAAUUGACACAAGUGUUGCAUGCAGUUUUAACUCAAUGUUGUCAGUUUAGUGAAAUGAAAGUGAAAAUAUCGUGUUAGAUUUACUAGGCAGAUAGGCCUAGCCUAUUUAUAGAUUGUGUUAUGUUGAAAGAACCCAACGCAGUCAGGCAAUUUCUUCAAACUACCCAGAAUGCAACGCUCCAGCUUUUCAAAUUGCAGGAAGGCGCGAGGAGUAAACAGACUAGUUCGCCUGCAAGAAAUGUACCACGUGAUGCAGUAGCCUGUUGAUGCUGGCAAAAGAUGCAAUCUGGAGGAUUUCAGGAGAUGGCUCUUGCUCACUGGCAGUGACUUGGGUCAUGUGAGACAGCAUCAGAGCUCGGGUGACAUCUCUCGCUCGGGUGAAAUCUCUCCUGGAAGAUUUCAAGGUGUGUGCAGAGUUCUGAAGAAUAAAAGUCAACAGUCAAGUUCUUCUCCAUAUUCUCCAAAUCUGACGGAGGCGUUCCAUCAGGAAAG
Long non-coding RNA from Engraulis encrasicolus (European anchovy), 497 nucleotides. RefSeq lists it as uncharacterized. NCBI's taxonomy places the organism in Eukaryota, Metazoa, Chordata, Actinopteri, Clupeiformes, Engraulidae. The transcript has 4 exons. The record is from RefSeq and is a predicted model, not a curated record.